Acanthochromis polyacanthus (spiny chromis) is the source of this 1134-nucleotide long non-coding RNA. RefSeq lists it as uncharacterized. The transcript has 3 exons. Lineage: Eukaryota; Metazoa; Chordata; Actinopteri; Pomacentridae. The record is from RefSeq and is a predicted model, not a curated record.
GCAGCAUCAUGAGGUGUAGCAUGGCGGUGGCAGCAUCAUGAGGUGUAGCAUGGUGGAGGCAGCAUCAUGAGGUGUAGCAUGGUGCUGGUAGCAUCAUGAGGUGAAGCAUGGUGGUGGAACCAUCAUGAGGUGAAGCAUGGAGGUGACAGCAUGAUGAAGUGAAGCAUGGUGGUGGCAGCAUCAUGAUGUGAAGCAUGGUGGUGACAGCAUCAUGAGGUGAAGCAUGGUGGUGGCAGCAUCAUGAGGUGUAGCAUGGUGGUGACAGCAUGAUGAAGUGAAGCAUGGUGGUGGCAGCAUCAUGAGGUGUAGCAUGGUGGUGACAGCAUGAUGAAGUGAAGCAUGGAGGUGGCAGCAUCAUGAGGUGAAGCAUGGAGGUGGCAGCAUGAUGAGGUGAAGCAUGGUGGUGGCAGCAUCAUGAGGUGAAGCAUGGUGGUGGCAGCAUCAUGAGGUGUAGCAUGGUGGUGACAGCAUGAUGAAGUGAAGCAUGGAGGUGGCAGCAUCAUGAGGUGUAGCAUGGUGGUGACAGCAUGAUGAAGUGAAGCAUGGUGGUGGCAGCAUCAUGAGGUGUAGCAUGGUGGUGACAGCAUGAUGAAGUGAAGCAUGGAGGUGGCAGCAUCAUGAGGUGAAGCAUGGAGGUGGCAGCAUGAUGAGGUGAAGCAUGGUGGUGGCAGCAUCAUGAGGUGUAGCAUGGUGGAGGCAGCAUCAUGAUAUGAAGCAUGGUGGAGGCAGCAUCAUGAUAUGAAGCAUGGUGGUGGCAGCAUCAUAAUUAGAGGAUGCUUCUCAGCAGCAGGUCCUGGAGUGCUUGUAAAGGUUGGGAAAAGAUUUGUUUUGUGGUAGGACGAUGUGCUGAAGCACACAGCCGAAUGGUUCAAAGGCAACAAGGGAAGGUACUGGAGCGGCCGAGCUAUUGUGGCUGGAUUUGAAAUGUUUACUGUCAACCCCUGUGCAAUAUGACAGAGUUUUGAAUAGUUUUGCAAAGAAGAACGGGAUAAAAUUGCAAUGUGAAAAAAUGUGAACAGCUGAUUCAGACCUUUCCACACACAGUCAAAGCUGUAAUUCUGACUUGAAAGGGCUGGAUAUACUUAUUUUAUAUUAUAUAGUUGACAUUUUUUGAUACUACUUGGUAGGAGUGUG